UCUUCUUCAUUGAACAACCAUUAAUCUCAAAAAAGUGAUAAUCUUAAAAAAUUUAAAGAAGUUGCUGAUAAAAAAGAUGAAUAUAUCGAUUUUGUUGAGAUAUUCAAAGAAAUUGGGGGAACGGGAUACAAGAGAAUGCUUGGACGAUUAAGAGGAAGAAAAAUGCAGAUGACAAGUGAACAAUAAACACAAAAACUGUUGUGGACGUUGUGGGCAAGAAGGUCACAAUAGACGAACUUGUUUAUUUCCUAAAGAUGAUUGAGAUAGACUUUUUAAUAGAUAUUUUAGAAUAUAUUGAUGUUUCACUUUAUAAUUUUCAAUUCAAUAAUUUUCCACUAUAACAAGUAUAGACACUUUCAUUUUUUA
This is a long non-coding RNA of Solanum lycopersicum (tomato), 366 nucleotides long. RefSeq lists it as uncharacterized. The record is from RefSeq and is a predicted model, not a curated record. Lineage: Eukaryota; Viridiplantae; Streptophyta; Magnoliopsida; Solanales; Solanaceae.